Macaca mulatta (Rhesus monkey) is the source of this 2834-nucleotide non-coding RNA. NCBI's taxonomy places the organism in Eukaryota, Metazoa, Chordata, Mammalia, Primates, Cercopithecidae. The record is from RefSeq and is a predicted model, not a curated record.
CGUCAUGGACACCGCCCACUCGGCGAACUGUCUCCGAGCGGAGCCGGGUGGGAUUGGAUUGGACGCUGGGCGGGAAAGGACGGACGGGUUAAGUAGCCAAUCACCAAUUGCGAUCCAGCCAGAGGGGAGACGUUCUUGGAGAGCAGAGGGAGGAUGAGGAAGGCCAGUGCCAACACCUGAAGUGAAGAGGCCUCCUAAUGCUUUCCAGGAUCUGGAAGAAGUUCAGUGUGAGGACAAGUGUGAGGAAAUAAGGCUGAAGGCAGAGGCAACCUUGAAGGAUCUUCUAACCCAUGUCAAGCAGUUGAGAAUUUAUAGAGUGAAACAGCAAGCCAUUGAAAAGUUUCAAGGUGCUCCCAAUGCAAUCACAAAGAUCCUUAAAAGUGGAAGAAGGUGGGAGAGGUCAGAGUGAUAUGAGGAGAACUCAGUCCACCAUUACUGGCUUUGAAGAUGGAAGAACGGGGCUAUGAGCCCUGGAGUGUGGGCAGCCUGCAGAAGCUGGGGCAGGGAUUCCACACUGGCACCUCUAGAAAAUAAUGCAGCCAACCAGUCCUUAGGCUUUCGCCCAGUGAGAGUCAAGUUGGACUUCUGACCUACAAAAAAGUAAGAUGAUGAAUUUAUAUUGUUUAAACCACAAAGUUUGUGGCAGUUUGUUACAGGAGCAAUAAAAUAUUAAUACACUGUAGCCUCUGUGUGGGGGAUGAACUGUACCAUCUAAAAGUAAAGGGAGUACAAUUAGGUUGUUCCUAAUUGAAUUUAGAAUUUGGGGAAAAUGGUCUAGAGAAUAGGGACAACAGUGAAGGUGGUGGGAAGUGGUCAGAUUUGGGAUACAUUUUCAAGCUGACAAAAAAAUUGUCUUGCAUAAUUCCCAGAAUUUUGGUCUAAGCCAUUGAGUUUGAUGAACUAGAUGAGUAGUAGUGCAUUUACUGACAUGGGAAAGACAGGGGAGCUAUGGUUUAGAGGAGAAAAGAAAGAAUUCUGUUUUAGAAAUUAGUUUGAGAUCUUUUUCAGAUACGCAAGUGGAGACGUUGAUUAGGCAACGGGAUAAAUGAUCCUGAAGCUCAGGAGAUGGGUCAGGACUAGAAAUAUAAAUUUAGUAUGGCAAAGUUACAAAAUGGGAGAGGCUUUUGCCCUAGAUAUUAUGAUGCCACCCUCAAAACCCCACUACUUAUACUUGAAAUGCUAUGUGAGAAGAAAGAAUGAUUUUGGAUUUCUGAAGCCCUUAUUAUUUGCUGUCUUACAGUUACUAAGCUGAUAAUCUAACUAAUCCCCCAAACUGUUUAAUCACUUUAUAUUCAACAAAAUUUGAAUUUCCAAAAUUGCUCAAAUUAAAUCCAGAGAACAGUAGUAUCUAGCUUAUUUUGUUGCAGAUUUAGGGACAUAGUCAUGAAUAUUUCCUGAUGAUGUGUUCUUAUCUAAACUUGCUGGGGCAAAUUGGGUGACAAAAACAACUGUGGUUUCAGUGGGUGCAGCCUUUAUCUGUGGUUGAAAAUGGCUCGUCAUUUGGAACAGCCUGAUGAAGAAAGAGAGGGGAGGAUGUACCACUUCCCUUUGAGGGCAUGAAUCUGCAGGUGCACACAUUUCUUCCACUAAUUUCCUCUGGCUCAAAAAUAAUAUAUAGUCCCAUUGAAGAUUUUUGUUUUUGUUGUUGUUUGUUUUGUUUUUGUCUGGAUGGCCGUCUGUGCAGCUGAGAUUUUGGGGUUCAAUUACUAAUGAACAAAGAGAAAGUAGAUGUUGGAGACAAUAGUAAUUCUGUCCCAGUCAGUUCCUUUGGCUACCCUAGUAAUCUUAUGUAUCCUUCUUUUUGCCCCUAGAACACACUUACCCUUCCUCAAGGGUCGCAUGCCAGGUACUACAUCCAACUCAAAGCCCAGAUCUGCAGGUGACGCAUAGACUUUCACUAGAACUAGGUGUGGCUGCUUGUAGUUCAGGGAACUAUAACCUAAAAAACUAGUUAUUUGACUUCUCCCCAGUGUAAAACAGCAGAGUAGGAGCUGUAUAGUUGCAAUUAAAACACACAAACAAAAGUCAAAAAGCCUCCAAGUUAGAAAGAAGGGUCUGAAGAGGCAGCACUCACUUUAUAACAAUGAUCAAGUGCUCAUGUACAGGAAUAACAAAGGCUCCUGUACAAGGUCUGCCAGAGCUGCCGUAACAAAAUACUACAAACUGUCUGGCUUCAACAACAUAACUUAACUUUCUCACAGUUCUGGAGGCUAGAAGUCCACAAUCCCAGUGGCAGCAGGUGUGGCCUCUGCUUGGUACCUACUCGCUGUGUCCUCCUGUGGUUUUUCCUCUGUGCACGGCCCUAAUGUCUCUCCCUCUUCUAAUAAGGAGACCAGACGCUUUGGAUUAGGACCUACCCUAGUGGCCUCAUUUUAACUUAUCCACCUCUUUAAGGGCCUUAUCUCCAAAUACAGAGUCCCAUUCUGAGAUACUAGGGGUUAAGGCUUCCACAUAGGAAUUUGGCGGAGGGUGAGGAGAACAAUUCAGCCCAUAACAACUCCUUUCUUUAGCAAUGGAGUAAAUCCCUUCUUUAGCUCACCUGGCAUCCCUGUCGUUAUUCUCUGGGCAGAACUUUUGGAAUUCGUGUCUGUGUCUGCUCUAGGACCCAGAUCAUAGAGCAUCAAGUGAGGUCAGAGAGUUUCUUGCCUCAGGCAUAAAAGUUGAGGGGGCACAAAAAGACUUGAUAAUAAAAAAAAAAUUUUAAUGAUAUAUUUUAAACAAACAAAAUGAAUGUAAAGGAUCUAUAAAUCUAUGGUGAACAAUAUAACACUGUUUAAUAAAGAUAGGAUUGUAUUGAUGAUUUUCCUUUUUGUCUCAGGAUCUGAUAUGACUUC